ACGCACGCUGGCGGCAUGCCUAACACAUGCAAGUCGAACGAGACCUUCGGGUCUAGUGGCGCACGGGUGCGUAACGCGUGGGAACCUGCCCUUAGGUUCGGAAUAACUCCCAGAAAGGGGUGCUAAUACCGGAUAAUGUCUUCGGACCAAAGAUUUAUCGCCUUUGGAUGGGCCCGCGUUGGAUUAGCUAGUUGGUAGGGUAAAAGCCUACCAAGGCGACGAUCCAUAGCUGGUCUGAGAGGAUGAUCAGCCACACUGGGACUGAGACACGGCCCAGACUCCUACGGGAGGCAGCAGUGGGGAAUAUUGGACAAUGGGCGAAAGCCUGAUCCAGCAAUGCCGCGUGAGUGAUGAAGGCCUUAGGGUUGUAAAGCUCUUUUACCCGGGAUGAUAAUGACAGUACCGGGAGAAUAAGCUCCGGCUAACUCCGUG
Molecule: ribosomal RNA, 432 nt
Filed under: uncultured bacterium
Lineage: Bacteria
Description: partial 16S ribosomal RNA
Rfam family: Bacterial small subunit ribosomal RNA
Source: RNAcentral